UCAUUAACGAAUAUAAUUCGAGGGGUUGUCGCUGGCCUCGCUCGCGCGAGGCAUGUGCACGCUUCUCGUUUUUCUCUCAACUCACCUGUGCACCUAAUGUAGGAUGCCUCUCCUCCGGGAGGGGGGACCUAUGUCUUCGUAACAUCUUCGUGUAGAAAGUCUUUGAAUGUUUACUAUCAUCGAGUCGCGACUUCUAGGAGACGCGGUUCUUUGAGAUAAAAGUUAUUACAACUUUCAGCAACGGAUCUCUUGGCUCUCGCAUCGAUGAAGAACGCAGCGAAAAGCGAUAUGUAAUGUGAAUUGCAGAUCUACAGUGAAUCAUCGAAUCUUUGAACGCACCUUGCGCUCCUCGGUGUUCCGAGGAGCAUGCCUGUUUGAGUGUCAGUAAAUUCUCAACCCCUCUCGAUUAGCUUCGAGAGGGCGCUUGGAUAGUGGAGGUUGCCGGAGACUUGGAUUCGUCCGAGACUCGGGCUCUUCUGAAAUGCAUCGGCUUGCGGUCGACUUUCGACUAUGUGCGACAAGGCUUUCGGCGUGAUAAUGAUCGCCGUUCGCUGAAGCGCAUGACUGAACGUCCNGUGCCUCUAAUACGUCGACCGCUUAUUAUCUCUCCGGAGAGACAGGGUCUUCCUUAUUGACUUUUGACCUCAAAUCAGGUAGGACUACCCGCUGAACUUAAGCAA
Molecule: ribosomal RNA, 680 nt
Filed under: uncultured Rhizopogon
Lineage: Eukaryota; Fungi; Basidiomycota; Agaricomycetes; Boletales; Rhizopogonaceae
Description: eukaryotic LSU rRNA
Rfam family: 5.8S ribosomal RNA (bases 230-384)
Source: RNAcentral